RNAcentral lists this ribosomal RNA (612 nucleotides) under Escherichia coli. RNAcentral describes it as "partial 23S ribosomal RNA". It matches the Rfam family "Bacterial large subunit ribosomal RNA", at positions 2319 to 2925 of the family's 2925-position model. Lineage: Bacteria; Pseudomonadati; Pseudomonadota; Gammaproteobacteria; Enterobacterales; Enterobacteriaceae. The record is from RNAcentral.
GGCUAAUCCUGGUCGGACAUCAGGAGGUUAGUGCAAUGGCAUAAGCCAGCUUGACUGCGAGCGUGACGGCGCGAGCAGGUGCGAAAGCAGGUCAUAGUGAUCCGGUGGUUCUGAAUGGAAGGGCCAUCGCUCAACGGAUAAAAGGUACUCCGGGGAUAACAGGCUGAUACCGCCCAAGAGUUCAUAUCGACGGCGGUGUUUGGCACCUCGAUGUCGGCUCAUCACAUCCUGGGGCUGAAGUAGGUCCCAAGGGUAUGGCUGUUCGCCAUUUAAAGUGGUACGCGAGCUGGGUUUAGAACGUCGUGAGACAGUUCGGUCCCUAUCUGCCGUGGGCGCUGGAGAACUGAGGGGGGCUGCUCCUAGUACGAGAGGACCGGAGUGGACGCAUCACUGGUGUUCGGGUUGUCAUGCCAAUGGCACUGCCCGGUAGCUAAAUGCGGAAGAGAUAAGUGCUGAAAGCAUCUAAGCACGAAACUUGCCCCGAGAUGAGUUCUCCCUGACCCUUUAAGGGUCCUGAAGGAACGUUGAAGACGACGACGUUGAUAGGCCGGGUGUGUAAGCGCAGCGAUGCGUUGAGCUAACCGGUACUAAUGAACCGUGAGGCUUAACCUU